ACCACUAAUCCGCAGUGGCCAAUCAUGUUUCACCAAAUUUCAUCUAUAUUCACGCGCAUUUGUUCCAUGGUUGAAAAUUUUGAACCUGGGGAGUCUGGGGAACGUUUGGUAUGGUUUCGUCGAUUUGAGAUCGAGUUGUUUUUUUUCGUAAUCUCUUCAUGUAUGCUAUUCAUAUGAGCUUACUGAAAUAAAUGAAUGAAUAAAAGUGACCUGGAC
RNAcentral lists this long non-coding RNA (216 nucleotides) under Oryza brachyantha (malo sina). Its description in RNAcentral is "long non-coding RNA (OBRA_LNC001517)". The record is from RNAcentral. Lineage: Eukaryota; Viridiplantae; Streptophyta; Magnoliopsida; Poales; Poaceae.